GACGAACGCUGGCGGCACGCUUAACACAUGCAAGUCGAACGGUGAAGAGGAGCUUGCUCCUCGGAACAGUGGCGGACGGGUGAGUAACACGUGAGCAACCUGCCUUCAAGAGGGGGAUAACGUUUGGAACGAACGCUAAUACCGCAUAACACUUCCGAAAGGACAUCUUUUGGUAAGUCAAGAUUUAUUGCUGAAGGAUGGGCUCAUGUCUGAUUAGCUAGUUGGUAGGGUAACGGCCCACCAAGGCUACGAUCGUUAGGGGUUCGUGAGAGGAAGGUCCCCCACCACUGGAACUGAGACACGGUCCAGACUCCUACGGGAGGCAGCAGUGAGGAAUAUUGGUCAAUGGGCGAAAGCCUGGCCCAGCAAUGCCGCGUGAAGGAAGAAGGGCCCUUCGGGUUGGUAAACUUCUUUUACCGUAGGACGAAUAAAUAGACGGUACUCGGCGAAUAAGCUCCGGCUAACUACGUG
This 471-nucleotide ribosomal RNA is filed under the name uncultured bacterium. Its description in RNAcentral is "bacterial SSU rRNA". It matches the Rfam family "Bacterial small subunit ribosomal RNA", at positions 28 to 507 of the family's 1533-position model. The record is from RNAcentral.